AACGAACGCUGGCGGCAGGCCUAACACAUGCAAGUCGAGCGAGAACUUCGGUUCUAGCGGCGGACGGGUUAGUAACGCGUGGGAAUAUGCCCUUCACUACGGAAUAGUCCCGGGAAACUGGGUUUAAUACCGUAUACGCCCUUCGGGGGAAAGAUUUAUCGGUGAAGGAUUAGCCCGCGUUGGAUUAGGUAGUUGGUGGGGUAAUGGCCUACCAAGCCGACGAUCCAUAGCUGGUUUGAGAGGAUGAUCAGCAACACUGGGACUGAGACACGGCCCAGACUCCUACGGGAGGCAGCAGUGGGGAAUAUUGGACAAUGGGCGCAAGCCUGAUCCAGCCAUGCCGCGUGUGUGAUGAAGGCCUUAGGGUUGUAAAGCACUUUCAACGGUGAAGAUAAUGACGGUAACCGUAGAAGAAGCCCCGGCUAACUCCGUGCCAGCAGCCGCCGUAACAC
RNAcentral lists this ribosomal RNA (452 nucleotides) under uncultured bacterium. RNAcentral describes it as "bacterial SSU rRNA". It matches the Rfam family "Bacterial small subunit ribosomal RNA", at positions 29 to 526 of the family's 1533-position model. The record is from RNAcentral.